Molecule: ribosomal RNA, 492 nt
Filed under: uncultured bacterium
Lineage: Bacteria
Description: partial 16S ribosomal RNA
Rfam family: Bacterial small subunit ribosomal RNA
Source: RNAcentral
AGUGAACGCUGGCGGUAGGCCUAACACAUGCAAGUCGAACGGCAGCACAGUAAGAGCUUGCUCUUACGGGUGGCGAGUGGCGGACGGGUGAGGAAUACAUCGGAAUCUACUUUUUCGUGGGGGAUAACGUAGGGAAACUUACGCUAAUACCGCAUACGACCUACGGGUGAAAGCAGGGGAUCUUCGGACCUUGCGCGAUUGAAUGAGCCGAUGUCGGAUUAGCUAGUUGGCGGGGUAAAGGCCCACCAAGGCGACGAUCCGUAGCUGGUCUGAGAGGAUGAUAAGCGACACUGGAAAAGAGACACGGGCCAGACUCUUACACGAGGCGGAGGUGGGGAAUAUAGGAGAAAAGGCGCAAGAGUGAGAUAGACAUAUAGCGUGGGUGAAGAAGGCGUUCGGGUUGUAAAGACCUUUUGUUGGGAAAGAAAAGAAGAAGGUGAAAAAACCGCGGUGCUGACGGUACAAAAAGAAUAAGAACAGGCUAAAUCCGUG